AACGAACGCUGGCGGCAUGCCUAACACAUGCAAGUCGAACAAGACCUUCGGGUCUAGUGGCGCACGGGUGCGUAACGCGUGGGAACCUGCCCUUAGGUUCGGAAUAACUCCCCGAAAGGGGUGCUAAUACCGGAUAAUGUCUUCGGACCAAAGAUUUAUCGCCGUUGGAUGGGCCGGCGUUGGAUUAGCUAGUUGGUAGGGUAAAAGCCUACCAAGGCGACGAUCCAUAGCUGGUCUGAGAGGAUGAUCAGCCACACUGGGACUGAGACACGGCCCAGACUCCUACGGGAGGCAGCAGUGGGGAAUAUUGGAAAAUGGGCGAAAGCAUGAUCCAGCAAUGCCGCGUGAGUGAUGAAGGCCUUAGGGUUGUAAAGCUCUUUUACCCGGGAUGAUAAUGACAGUACCGGGAGAAUAAGCUCCGGCUAACUCCGUG
This 433-nucleotide ribosomal RNA is filed under the name uncultured bacterium. RNAcentral's name for it is "partial 16S ribosomal RNA". It matches the Rfam family "Bacterial small subunit ribosomal RNA", at positions 29 to 507 of the family's 1533-position model. The record is from RNAcentral.